Equus quagga is the source of this 2179-nucleotide long non-coding RNA. RefSeq lists it as uncharacterized. NCBI's taxonomy places the organism in Eukaryota, Metazoa, Chordata, Mammalia, Perissodactyla, Equidae. The transcript has 3 exons. The record is from RefSeq and is a predicted model, not a curated record.
ACAGGAGAGACACAGAGUCACCCCAACGCCCCACAAGGCUGGCCUGGGUCGGGGCACAAUCCACUUUAACAGCAGUGAUUCACCAGAAAUCAUCUCAACAGGUAAGGACAGAGCCCUGACAGCAAGGCUCUCGCGCCAGGUGGAAACCAGGGUCCUAGAUGGGCAAGCACUUUCUCGGCCUGCUCUUCCACACCUCCGAAGGGCUGGUUCAAGCUCUGCCUGCAGCCCUCCUAGCUGGGCAGCCUCGGGCCAGGCACUUUGCCCCUUUGAGCCUCAGUUUCCACAUCUGCAGUCUUACGUGGGAACAUACUUUGCAAAUUACAAUGAGGCCCAGGGCCUUGAUCCUAACGUUGCUGCCAUUACUAAGACGGGUGCAGAAGAGGCAGAGCUCGCUGCCCGGCCUCCCUCCUGCACCUGCCUCGCCGCCGCCUUCCCCUCCACCCAGGAUAAGGCAAGGUGGUGUGGUGGUUAGACACGUGGGUGCCAGUGCCAAGAUCCACACGUGCCGGCGGUGUGGCCUGGGAGGAGUACUUCUCUAAGCCUCAGUUUCCAUCUGGAAACGGAGUAGCAGCCUGAGGGGCUGCACGGAGGAUAAGGCAGACAACGCGUGGGGAACGCCUGGCUCACACCGCCGCCAGGCUCAGCGGUGCCACCGUCCCCACUGAUCUCAUUCCCCGGCUCUCGGGCGCCCUGCGCGUGGCCGCUCCUGGAACCACCGCUGCAGAGUCAGCAGUGUGCAGCAAGCCCGAUCGACAGCCUGAGUUUGGUGGCUCUUCUGUGGCUUCACAGGUCUGUAUUUCUACCAUUUCCCCUGCGCCGCUGGAGGCUGAGCAUGGUGCUAUCUGUGUUCAUCACAGAAGGGCAUGUGGGGCUGCCUCCUCCGCACGGCCUCCUGAAGCAGCAGAGUUUAUGAAACAGGCAGAGGGUUCCUGUUUGGCCAAAGGGGCCGUGGGGGCUGGGGCCGGCCCCUCCCACCCAUGCCCUGCCUCGCCCCCAACAGCAGCCAGAGCCCAGCACGGACUCCCUGCAGCUCAGGAAUUACAGGUUAGAAGCACUGAGCUAAUGCAGCCCGCCCACCAUGCUGAUGGAGACCCAGCGCACAGGAGGGAAGCGACCUCCUCCGAGCCGUCUAGGGGACCGACAGAUCCCUCACGUGUGGUAACCUCGCCGCACGGUCUGCCUCAGCUCCCGGGGUCGCAACUUCAACCUUUCUCUAGUUCUUGGCGGUUUCAAAGAAAGCAAUGCUUUAUUUCAUUUGAUCUUGACAACUCUCCCCAGGGUAGAGAGGGCUGAGUCAUGCCCACUUUGUGGAAGAGGGAACAGGUCCAGGGAGACACAGGCUGGCCCGCUGGGCUGGGGAGAGUCAGCCUGGAGCGGCUUCGCUCAGGCGGGGCCUCCCCGCUCUGUCUCCCCAGACCUGACGGAAAGGAUGUUCUGGGCCAGGAAAGGGCACGGCCAAGACUCUAAAGCAUAUUUCAUCCCUCCAGCCUGGCCCGGGCUUAGUGAACAGGCCAGAAUCCCACCCGCCACUUCCACAUCAUGUCACAUUGCCAAGAAGAACAAGGUCAUUCAAGGCUGGACAAGGAGCCUCCUCCGGGCUCCCGCCCACACCGCCGUCCUGCCUCGGACAACUCUGGGUCGUCACUGGCUCUUGUCUGUGUCCCCUACUCGACACGGCUCCUCCAGAGAAACCUCAGUGAAGAUCACUCAUUCAGGAUUUCCAGGCACCCACUCUGUCGUACAGCUGGUGCUGGGAUGGAGCAGAGGGACGAGGAGGACACAGUCCUCACUCCCAAGGAGCGCACGGUCAAGGUGGAGGGGCACGGACGGGCAAUUCCAAGACCAUGGGACCACUGUGGUGCUGGGGAGGGAAGCACCUCCUCCCGCUUGAGUGGCCUGGGAGGUAGGAUAGUGUCCCACAAAAUUCGUGUCCACCCCUGACCUCAGAAUGUGACCUUGUUUGGAGACAGGGUCUUAGCAGAUGCAAGUGGUUAAGGGUCUCAAGAGGACAUCGUCCUGACUCAGGUGGGCCCUACAUCCAAAGACUGACGUUUUCAUAAGAGAAAGGAGAGGGAGGGCUGGACACAGACACACGGGGAGGAGCCACAUGACAACAGAGGCAGAGCCUGGAGUGACGCAACUACAACCCAAGAAACCGGAGCCACCAGGAGCUGGGAGA